CAGCCGCCGCGGGAAUACGAAGGGUGCAAGCGUUACUCGGAAUUACUGGGCGUAAAGCGUGCGUAGGUGGUGGUUUAAGUCCGUUGUGAAAGCCCUGGGCUCAACCUGGGAAUCGCAGUGGAUACUGGGUCACUAGAGUGUGGUAGAGGAUAGUGGAAUUUCCGGUGUAGCAGUGAAAUGCGUAGAGAUCGGAAGGAACAUCUGUGGCGAAGGCGACUAUCUGGGCCAACACUGACACUGAGGCACGAAAGCGUGGGGAGCAAACAGGAUUAGAUACCCCCGUAGUCCCUGUCUCUUAUAA
This 301-nucleotide ribosomal RNA is filed under the name uncultured bacterium. RNAcentral's name for it is "partial 16S ribosomal RNA". It matches the Rfam family "Bacterial small subunit ribosomal RNA", at positions 509 to 809 of the family's 1533-position model. The record is from RNAcentral.